This is a long non-coding RNA of Homo sapiens (human), 1739 nucleotides long. The record is from Ensembl. Lineage: Eukaryota; Metazoa; Chordata; Mammalia; Primates; Hominidae.
GGACUCCUGUCUCAAGAGCCAAGCUCCCCAGACCCACUAAUGGACUAAGUAAUGUUUCUGUUGGUGACUCUAAGCAAGGAAAACAAAUAAGGCAAAGAAGGAGGUAAAAGAGACAAGUAAGACAUCUGAGAACCUGCAAUGACUCUUGGGAAGACAUCAAAGCAGAAAAAGAAAGAAGUGGCAAGUGACAAAAGAGAUGUUUUUGACCUUCGUGGAGAAGAAGUUUGGUGGUGGGGCAGGAGCAGAAGUUAGAACUCGGGAUUUCUUUGUUCACCUUGGCUGCGAAGCCACCCAUAUAUGACCAGUGUUGAAACUCAUUGCACCAGGCCAACCAAUUAGUCUGUAUUGGCCCCAUAAACUUUGAGCUGACAAGUAUCAAGUGAAAGGUUCUUGAGAAUAAGACUGAAAAAUCCUUCUUACUUCCCCCUACAAAAAAAAUUCUCCAGCCCCAGAAUGUUAUUCCUUCCCAAGAAACACAAAUUAACUAGCUGCACUAAUGACCUCCAGACCAACACAAACCCAUUUCCCCUUGAAAUUAACCUUCUAUUCUGAAUCUAAACAGUGUCUAAUUAGCCCCAAACACUGGUGAGCUAACUGGAAGAGAAGAAUGUAGGAAAUCAAAACAAGGGGAUAGUUUUACGGUUGGAAAAAAAAAAAUAGCGAAAAGCCAUCCUCCAAUUAUCCUAUCCUUCUAACCUCCGCCCCCAGAUCCUUAUCCUGCAUCUUCAUUUGUCUUCCUUUCCGUAAACCUUGUAAAGGAGUCUGCUUUUCAGACAAAUAUUUUUCCCAGCUCAUUUGACACCUAGAAGGCAGGAAAAAUAUUGCCCAUCACGAUAAAUAUAAUAUUCCAAUUUUCCAGCAUUUGACAGCAAUCAAGGGAAGAGUAAUGUGUUCCCUCUGUGACUAAAUCAUUUAGAGACCAAGGUAUUCUGUCUCAUUCUCAUUAGGAAAAAAAAAUAUUCCAAUAAUCUCAUUAUCCCAGUGUGAAUAACAGUAAAAAAGCACCAAGACUAAUGACUUCUUCCGCGCUUGCCUCCGCAGAUACCAGCCCAGGCCGUGCUUUUAUAGGCAAUGCUUGGGUAAUGGAGUCUCCCUUAGCAGCGAUCCUGUAGCAUCUGCUGCUCUGAAAGCCCUGCCUAACACAUUCUGCUUUGUCUGCAGCAAGGUUUACACACACCCCUGGACUCCAAAGACUCUUUUUUAUGUACUUUUUAAAAAACUAACUCCAAUGGAAAAAGAAUGUGUCAUGGCAUGUUAAACUUUAUGGAAAUUCUUCUGGAGAAUAACAUAAUUUCACGGUGCAUUACUCUGAAAUGACCUAGUACUUGAACAAUUAAUUUUUAAGGUGUAGCAUUGACUUCCCCUUGCUGUAUUUAACCCAUAUCUGAAAUUGUCAACAAUGCCAAGGGUUGGACAAUGAGUUGGGAGAAGAGCAGGAGCCUGAAAAUUACUCCCUAUCUACUAUGUUUUCUUUUAUCAGACAUAAUGCUUCCCUCUUUGGUUCAAAAAUGAAAAGAGAAGGGAGCAGGUACUUUAGUUAGGGACACUUCAUAGGCAGCACAGCCUGGCAGGUAAAUAGUGCAGUCCUGGAGACAUAAACUCGACGUCUUACCUUUGUCAUUAAUUUACUGUGUAGCCUUAGAGAAACUCCUUUUUCUCUCUGUAGCUAAAAUGGGGGAAGGAGAGGUUUUGUUUGUUAUGCCCCCAAAAGGAAUUCAGUGAUAGAAAAUGAAUAGAUG